RNAcentral lists this transfer RNA (75 nucleotides) under Aequorivita sp. CIP111184. Its description in RNAcentral is "tRNA-Pro". Lineage: Bacteria; Pseudomonadati; Bacteroidota; Flavobacteriia; Flavobacteriales; Flavobacteriaceae. The record is from RNAcentral.
UAUAGAUGGCUUGGGAUGAAUAGCAAGCUUUUGGGACAAGCGUCAAGAAUGAGGGUUCAAAACCUUCAUUUUUUC